Molecule: ribosomal RNA, 356 nt
Filed under: uncultured bacterium
Lineage: Bacteria
Description: partial 16S ribosomal RNA
Rfam family: Bacterial small subunit ribosomal RNA
Source: RNAcentral
CCUACGGGUGGCAGCAGUGAGGAAUAUUGGUCAAUGGACGAGAGUCUGAACCAGCCAAGUAGCGUGAAGGAUGACUGCCCUAUGGGUUGUAAACUUCUUUUAUAUGGGAAUAAAAUGUGCCACGGGUGGGAUUUUGUAUGUACCAUAUGAAUAAGGAUAGGCUAACUCCGUGCCAGCAGCCGCGGUAAGACGGAGGAUCCGAGCGUUAUCCGGAUUUAUUGGGGUUAAAGGGAGCGUAGGGGGAUUGUUAAGUCAGUUGUGUAAGUUUGCGGCUCAACCGUAAAAUUGCAGUUGAAACUGGCAGUCUUGAGUACAGUAGAGGUGGGCGUCAUUCGUGUUGUCGCGGUGACAUGCUU